GAUGAAGAACGCAGCGAAAUGCGAUAAGUAAUGUGAAUUGCAGAAUUCCGUGAAUCAUCGAAUCUUUGAACGCACAUUGCGCCCGCCAGUAUUCUGGCGGGCAUGCCUGUCCGAGCGUCAUUUCAACCCUCGAACCCCUCCGGGGGGUCGGCGUUGGGGAUCGGCCCUGCCUUUGGCGGUGGCCGUCUCCGAAAUACAGUGGCGGUCUCGCCGCAGCCUCUCCUGCGCAGUAGUUUGCACACUCGCAUCGGGAGCGCGGCGCGUCCACAGCCGUUAAACACCCAACUUCUGAAAUGUUGACCUCGGAUCAGGUAGGAAUACCCGCUGAACUUAAGCAUAUCAAUAAGCGGAGGA
This 354-nucleotide unclassified non-coding RNA is filed under the name soil metagenome. RNAcentral describes it as "partial contains 5.8S ribosomal RNA, internal transcribed spacer 2, and large subunit ribosomal RNA". The stretch from base 1 to 120 matches the Rfam family "5.8S ribosomal RNA", at positions 35 to 154 of the family's 154-position model. The record is from RNAcentral.